AGACCAUGAUGAAGGCAAUAACUAAGCAUGUCCUUGUAUCUUUACCAAGCCUCUCACAACGAAUCAGAAUCUAGCCAUGUGAAUGAUGUGAUAUCAUUCCUCAUUUU
This 107-nucleotide small nucleolar RNA is filed under the name Theobroma cacao (cacao). Its description in RNAcentral is "Plant small nucleolar RNA R71". It matches the Rfam family "Plant small nucleolar RNA R71". Rfam says of the family: R71 is a member of the C/D box family of snoRNAs containing the C (UGAUGA) and D (CUGA) box motifs. Multiple nearly identical copies of this snoRNA have been identified in Arabidopsis, and it is thought to function as a 2'-O-ribose methylation guide for 18S ribosomal RNA. Lineage: Eukaryota; Viridiplantae; Streptophyta; Magnoliopsida; Malvales; Malvaceae. The record is from Rfam by way of RNAcentral.